Molecule: ribosomal RNA, 253 nt
Filed under: uncultured bacterium
Lineage: Bacteria
Description: partial 16S ribosomal RNA
Rfam family: Bacterial small subunit ribosomal RNA
Source: RNAcentral
UACGAAGGGGGCUAGCGUUGCUCGGAAUCACUGGGCGUAACGGGCGCGUAGGCGGAUCUUUAAGUCGGGGGUGAAAGCCCAGGGCUCAACCCUGGAAUUGCCUUCGAUACUGAAGAUCUCGAGACCGGAAGAGGUAAGUGGAACUGCGAGUGUAGAGGUGAAAUUCGUAGAUAUUCGCAAGAACACCAGUGGCGAAGGCGGCUAACUGGUCCGGUUCUGACGCUGAGGCGCGAAAGCGUGGGGAGCAAACAGG